RNAcentral lists this ribosomal RNA (610 nucleotides) under Metarhiziopsis microspora. Its description in RNAcentral is "eukaryotic LSU rRNA". The stretch from base 236 to 389 matches the Rfam family "5.8S ribosomal RNA". The record is from RNAcentral. Lineage: Eukaryota; Fungi; Ascomycota; Sordariomycetes; Hypocreales; Clavicipitaceae.
AAAAUCGUAACAAGGUCUCCGUUGGUGAACCAGCGGAGGGAUCAUUACCGAGUUUUCAACUCCCAAACCCACUGUGAACGCUACCAGACGUUGCCUCGGCGGGACCGCCCCGGCGCCCCCUCCCCCCUGGGUCUCCAGGGGGGUGGCGGCCCGGAACCAGGCGCCCGCCGGAGGACCAAAACUCUUUCUCUUACAGCGGCAUUCUCUCUGAGUACACAAGAAUUCAAUGAAUCAAAACUUUCAACAACGGAUCUCUUGGCUCUGGCAUCGAUGAAGAACGCAGCGAAAUGCGAUAAGUAAUGUGAAUUGCAGAAUUCAGUGAAUCAUCGAAUCUUUGAACGCACAUUGCGCCCGCCAGCAUUCUGGCGGGCAUGCCUGUCCGAGCGUCAUUUCAACCCUCGAGCCCCCCGCUGGGGGGCUCGGUGUUGGGGGACGGCCCUCACCCGGCCGCCCCCGAAAUGCAGUGGCGACCUCGCCGCAGCCUCCCCUGCGCAGUAACGCACAAGCCUCGCACCGGAGCGCGGAGACGGUCACGCCGUGAAACGCCCAACUUUUUAGAAGUUGACCUCGGAUCAGGUAGGGAUACCCGCUGAACUUAAGCAUAUCAUAA